This is a small nuclear RNA of Suricata suricatta (meerkat), 112 nucleotides long. The record is from Ensembl. NCBI's taxonomy places the organism in Eukaryota, Metazoa, Chordata, Mammalia, Carnivora, Herpestidae.
GCGCUUGCUUCAGCAGCACAUAGGAGAAAAUUGGAAUGAACCAGAGAAGAUUAUCAUGGCUCCCUGCACAAGCAUGACACACAACUUCUCCAGAGAGUGUAGUAUGAUUCUU